Daphnia carinata is the source of this 1312-nucleotide long non-coding RNA. RefSeq lists it as uncharacterized. The record is from RefSeq and is a predicted model, not a curated record. Lineage: Eukaryota; Metazoa; Arthropoda; Branchiopoda; Diplostraca; Daphniidae. The transcript has 3 exons.
GUUUCAGGGCUCCAACAUACUGCAGCACAUGAAAUCCAAUCUGACGUAAUGGGUCUCGAUUGGAGAAAGCUUACUCAUCAAAUCCAAUAUGUGGUUACAAAUUAGUCUUCUCUAGUUUAUCACUUCUUUUGCAAGUUUGAAUCUUUUAACUAUUUCAUUUUGUCACAUUCUAACUGCUUACAAAUUUUAUUGGGUUUUAACUUGCAAGUUUGACUUGUUGCACACGCAUUUUUAGCCUUUUACGCUAACCCUAGAUAGAUACUUGUUGAAAAUAUGUUGACUAGAAAACAAAGUAACAGACAAUAAUGGAUUUCCAUUUGGUAUGAGUGGCUCGAGUCUUAGCUUUUAAUUUUAUCUUCGGCCCUAUUCGGCAGGUUCGUUCAACAUUGUCAGCAGACAACAAAAAUUUCUUUUGGCGGGAAACUGGACAUGCCCUUAAGACUCAAAGAAGGUGAUUUCCGUUAGGCGGGAGAAAUGUUUCUGCAAAGGAUUGAGGCAUUUAACGAGCUAUAGGAUACGUUCACGUGAAGUACAGAUCAUAUCAAUUCGGAACAUCAAGGAUAAAAGGUUGAAAAUCCAACUUUUAACAAGAAAACACAAAAGCUGAUUUUACGAUGGCCUUGAUCCGUGAAUUAUAUGGGAGGUUCUUGUAUCAACCGCUGUAUUAUGCAAGCGCUAGUGUCAAUGACCAUUGGGGCAGCAUAUGCUUGAUUAGCGGGAAACACUGAAGCCUGUUUCUGCCUCUAUCUGGCAAUCGAUUCUUUUUCCAAAAAACGGUGAACCCAGCUUGUUGGCUGCUCUGUCAUAGGUGAAGUAAAUUUUACGUGAAAAGUCGUACUGACGAAAGGCUAAAAUGAGGAAAUGAAUCCGCCACGAUUGGAAAACUUAAAAACAAAAGGCCGAUCAAAAACUUCUUUACUUGAAAGACGGAGCAUGGGUAUCUAAACCUGUUUUUAGUAUUUCCUGGACCUAGACAAUCCACGAUUUUUAUACGUACAGUUGUAAUUUGCAGCUAAUAUGAGACUUUCAUGCAAAGUGGGCGUGAUUCCAUCGGUUGCUAUGUGUGUAAAAUUGCUCCGCCAGUUGCUAGGAUCGGAAGACUGAAAAUUUACCUUGACCCACAAUAUCGGCCUGUAAUUUUGAAAUAAAGGAAAAUCAUAGCAGCAGGAGUUCUGAUCUCCGCUAUCCAGGUACAUUUCCCCAGGUCAAAUUUGUUCAACGUCCCUUUGGGCUUUGUUCUCCGACAUUAGAGAAAAAAAAAACGCCAGCCGUUCGAUGUGCCACUGACCGUUUCUUGAACUUUCCAAUCACC